GGAUAUGGCGAAAUCGGUAGACGCUACGGACUU
RNAcentral lists this transfer RNA (33 nucleotides) under Aegilops comosa. RNAcentral's name for it is "partial tRNA-Leu". The record is from RNAcentral. Lineage: Eukaryota; Viridiplantae; Streptophyta; Magnoliopsida; Poales; Poaceae.